AGACAAGACUGGGACCAUUUCCACCAGCUGUCUCCAACUACAUUCUUUCGGUCUGAAUUUAGAUUGUCAUCCAAUGAGCAAAGACCAUUUCCGCUUCCGAAUCCUGCAGCUUGUGACUGUCCCUUUAAAAAGCGUUGCAGCAGUGGGAGAGAGGGCGAAGUAGCUGAUGGAGCACUUUCCCAGGUUGAGCGUCCUCCCCCACUGCAGUUGGCUUGAUCCACAUUUCAUCCGCAUCCUUAACUCCAGCUGCAAGAAGCUUUUGAUGCUUCCUCGCCCCUUUGCCUUCUCUGUCAGUACUUAGGCCCAGAUGGGAAUGAACGACAAGAGAAGUAAAGAAGGCUAUGAAGAGGAAUGAGCACUGGAACGGGAGUCCGCAGAUCUGAAACACAUCAUCUGACCCUCUGUCUACUCCCUGUAUGGCUGCAGGCCCUCUCCUCACCCGGCCUAGCCCUUUGCUGUGAAGUUGGUUCAUGCAGGAGCAAUGAGGAGCAUGGGAUGGAGGGGAGUGAUUUGGGAAGGUUGAAGUCAGUGUGACCCCAGAAACUACAUUUGAACAUCACGCAUGAAGCCCUCACCAGAAACUGACCGGAUCUGCGUGCCCAAUCUUGGACCUCCCAACCUCCAGAAUCAUGAGCUGAAUAAACCUUUUCUUUAUAAAUUA
This 661-nucleotide long non-coding RNA is filed under the name Callithrix jacchus (white-tufted-ear marmoset). Its description in RNAcentral is "lncRNA (ENSCJAG00000069139.2)". Lineage: Eukaryota; Metazoa; Chordata; Mammalia; Primates; Cebidae. The record is from RNAcentral.